GACCAUGUAGCUUAUUUGGCAGAGCAUUGGACUAGUAUCCCAAAGAUCGCGGGUUCGAUUCCCACCGUGGCCA
Molecule: transfer RNA, 73 nt
Filed under: Paramuricea clavata
Lineage: Eukaryota; Metazoa; Cnidaria; Anthozoa; Malacalcyonacea; Plexauridae
Rfam family: tRNA
About the family: Transfer RNA (tRNA) molecules are approximately 80 nucleotides in length.
Source: Rfam by way of RNAcentral